Molecule: long non-coding RNA, 1340 nt
Organism: Aquila chrysaetos chrysaetos
Lineage: Eukaryota; Metazoa; Chordata; Aves; Accipitriformes; Accipitridae
Exons: 3
Source: RefSeq, a predicted model, not a curated record
CAUCCUUUGGUUGGUUGUUUGCUCGCUUGUUUGUUUGUUUCCAAAUGGAAUUCCUGGAACAAAAGGGGAGUCUGUGCGUAACUAAAGGAUCCGUCCGGGCAUCCAAAGCUUAGCUCCGGUGUGUCACCCAGGCGGCUUCAGCUGGCUGACCGUCCCCUAGGUACCCGAGAGAAUCAUCUACAACGGUGAUGUGAAAAUCCCUGUUACCUGAGGUCAAAAAAAAAAGUCUCCCAGAAGACCUGGAGUGGUGACGCCUGGAUGCAGAGGAGAUCACACUGCUUAUAAAUCUGCACCAUGAAGAGGCCAAAAGUUUCUUCGGCAGCAGGAGGUAAGCCAGGACUGCUGGUGGGUGUAAGGAACGGAGAGCAAUGCCACAUGCAUUCGAGAAGAUGAAGGCGGCGUUCUUGAGGAUGGAGACUUUGGGGCAGUGUCAUGGUCCUGUACAGAAAGCUUGAAGAGAUCUUCAGGUGGGAACACACCACCCAGCCAGCUGCUUGUUUGGUUUAGUCCAUGGACCUCUGGGUUUUUCACACCAGAGACUGGAAACUCUUGAUUUACCCUAAGUUUCCUCUUUGUGGACUUCUGAUGCGAUAGGAAUGGCACAAAAAAUUCAAUAUAUCUGCUUUGCCAUAACUUUUUCAGCGUGCUAACUUUCCCAGGACUACUUUCUGCUCAAAUUACUGAAACUUAAUUACAUGAGGCUUAAUUUCAGUUGCUUGGCCAGCUUUAAAAACAUAUAUUCAAAUUUGAACCACAAGGGCAGAAUUUUGGGAGCCUCUUUGUCCUCUUACUUUGUGUUAGUUUAAAUGAAGAAACUGUGCCUGUGAAUCUCUGCUUUAUUACACCUGUUCCAAGUCAGUCUCACUUCUGGAGAGACUUCCCAGACUCUUGGCAGUUUAAGGGGGAGUACAAACUACCCCUUAUGUUAUAGUUUAUGGUUUUGAACCUGUGCAAACAAUAGAUAUUUGUCUCCUGCUUAUGCAUUUUCUUGUAAAUAAAAUGUAUUGAGACCAGAGAUGGAGUUUCACUGACUUUACACCAGAUAAGAAUUUGUGUUGACAUUUUACAUAGAAGUGUUGUAUAAUCUGUACGUUUCUCAAGUAGGUCUUGCAUCGUUUCAUUGCAACAAAAAAAGAAGGGGAGGGAGAACCAAAGGAGGGGCAUGGAGGAGAGAGAAGGUGAAAGGGUACAAAUGGGGAACGGUGGAGUUGGAGGAUAGCACUGGCUAUAAAUGCAUUAUCUAAGAAUUCCCAUGGUUAGGACUUAUUAUCUUUCUGACCUCACCAUUUCAUUACAAUCUGCUGCUUAGGUGAUAAGUAAUAAAUGGCCUUCAAAUUUUA